Bos grunniens (domestic yak) is the source of this 54-nucleotide microRNA precursor. The record is from Ensembl. Lineage: Eukaryota; Metazoa; Chordata; Mammalia; Artiodactyla; Bovidae.
AGUCAAGUGAGCGGCCGCACCGGCUCUCCCGGAGGGCGGGCGGCGACUGGAAAG